AGAACUUCUGUUUAUAUUUCUUUUCUCAUUGUUUCCAGUUUUGAUGUUUCAUACAGUGCAUAGUAUAUCGGCACAGUAGUGCAGUCCUACUCAUAAAUAAAUAUGCAUGUAUUGUAAAGAGUCGGAGAGGACUAUUGGAGUCCACUGAGCUAAAGAAAUGAAUGCAGGUUGAAGGCCUGGGGGAGAGAUUCUCACCUGAGACGAGCCCCAUUUCCUUCUUCAUGCUAUCUAAACUGGCUCCCAGUACCUCCCAGUGUCAUGUGCCCAGACCUGGUGCGAAGCCAGCACAAAACCUACUUUCACGCAGUUUAGCAAAAAUGACUUCAGUUCUGAUACAUGAAAGAGCACUGUUAUGGAUGGCACUGCUAAUUCUUCAGGUGAACCCCCUCUCUCCAAGUCCUCCAGGAAUCUGAAUCAUCGUGAACUGAACCCUAAAAAUCAGGCACCCUGCCAAAUUCCUACUCAGAUAAUUACAUUUUAUCUGUCUAAAUCCCCUAUGUUACUGCAUUGGGAUAAAGGCUUAAGUUCCCAUCCAUUAAUUUUCUUUCAUUUUGUCUAAGAGGUGUUUGCAUUUUUAUCAUUCAGAAAACAAUUCCAAGGAAUAGUUCUGAGCUUCC
Molecule: long non-coding RNA, 617 nt
Filed under: Vulpes vulpes (red fox)
Lineage: Eukaryota; Metazoa; Chordata; Mammalia; Carnivora; Canidae
Description: lncRNA (ENSVVUG00000004282.1)
Source: RNAcentral